Molecule: long non-coding RNA, 1599 nt
Organism: Chrysemys picta bellii (western painted turtle)
Lineage: Eukaryota; Metazoa; Chordata; Testudines; Emydidae
Source: Ensembl
AGAUAUUUGUGAGUGCAAAAAAAAAAGUUUAAUAAUUUUUUAAACUGAAUUAUUUUCACUCUCCAAGAACUUAAAAAUAGCUGAUGGGGUUUCCCUCAAAAUUUCCCCUGUAGGCUGAGAGCAUGCAUGGAAAAUUUGAGCUCAUGAAAAGAAUCUUUGAGAGCAUUGAUGCCAAAUAAAUAAAGGGGGGCUGUUAUAAUGGAAAUUUGAAUUCAACUUUAACUAUAAUUUUUCUCUAUAGAGAAAGCUCAAAGGACAGAUCCACAGCUGGUGCAGCUGCUCUGAUCUACAUGAGCUGAAAAUCUGGCCCAUAAUAUUUUCAGGAGUGUAUAGCAAACAGGAGAGCUGCAAAUUUCAUAGUAUUAUCUGUGUGGAUGCUCUGCAUGGCUGAUAACUAUAAUGCAUAUGGAUAUAUGCAGCACUUUCUGCCAAAGGAUCUCCAAACCCUUUAUACUGGGGAACUAACCCUCACAACUCUGCGGCUAGAAAGGUUUUGUUCCAUCGUCAUGAUGAGGACCCCAGAGCGUAUCUGUAGAGUGAGAAGAGGCCAGCUGCAGAUGAAGGUUUUCAGCAGAGGAAACCAAAGUCCUGUCCAAUAGUGAGGUUGCUUGAUUAUUUUCUCUGUAUCUCGUAGAUUUUAAGAUCCUGUAGGCCUAUUAUGAUCAUCUUGUCUGACUACAGCACACCCAUGGCAUUUCAACCAGUGAUUCCUGCACUGAGCCCAAUAGUUUGUGGCUGAACUAAAACAUAUCUUUUAGAAAGAUGUCCAAUCUUGAUUUUGGCUGGGAUUAUCAAAGGAGCCUAAUGCCCAAAUCCCACUGAAUUUCAAAUACCUGUAGAGAUUGUAGAAACCCAGCAAACUAUGAUGGAUGGGGUGAAUGCAAGACUGUCUUUAUUUCCUGUUUACAUAGACACAUACCUCCUUGUUCUAUGCCCCUUAGCUGCUGCUCUAAACAUUCACAACUAACACCACAAUAUCCACAAGCUCCUUUUGAAAAUUGGAGCCUUAAACAUUUCAAGUGAUGGAGAAUCUACUGCAUCCUUUGGUAAGCGCUAGCCAUUGUUAAUUACUCUCGGUGUUAAGAGUUCCUGCCUUAUUUCCUAUCUGAAUUUUUCUAGCUUUAGCUUCCAGCCAAUGGUUCUUGUAAUGCCUUUGCCUGCUAUCUUGUAGCAGCUAUCUCAAUAUCCUUCUUUACCCCUCCACUGCAAAUCUGUAAACACCUCUUUGCAGGCAAGAGAGAAGAGCUGAAGUGAUGUCUAACUAUGGGCUUCCUCUGAACCUCUUCACUCUCACUGUCAAGCUUAAACGUAUUGUUCAUGUAAACUUCUUUCAGCGAUCUGGUUUCUCUGUUCUUUCCUUUUUGUAUUUGGCACCAUUCCCAAGAACCUUAUUUGCUGCCUGCACCAGUUGAGAAAUUCCUUCUGAAUGUUGGCUGUCCUUCCUGUUGGUUAAAGUCCAGAAAUCACUGUCAUCUGCUUAACAGCGUUGUUUCUGUGCCGAUGAUCUCGGGUAACACUGACAGUAAGCACGUGGUCUUUCAUGUGACUCACUGUUCCUUAACAUUUCUGUGAACAAGACAUUUCUGCUAAACACCACCA